CCGGGGAGCAGCAGCCAUGGGGCGGCAGCUCAGGCUCUCUGCCUCCUGAGACUUUGUUCUCUCUUUCUCUCUUUCCUUUUUUUUUUCCUUUUCUUUAAAAGGCAAACUCCGUGGGAAAGCCCCGGACAGAGCUCAGGCUCAGCGCAAGCUCCACGCAGCCCUGCGCUCUGCUGGGCUCCCUGCAGAUGGAUGCCCCACAGCAGGGUGAACUUUUACACCACUGCUCAUGGCAGCGAUCCCCGUGCGUUGCCCCGGGCCGUCCCUCGCCACGCUGGGCAGCCCCCGAGGUGCACGGACCCCGCUGCGGGCGGUGUCGCCCAAACCCUCUCCUAGCUGGGGGCCGGGGAGGGCGAAUCCCCCUCGGAAACGUUCCCAAAUCCCCCCUGUGCCACCGCUCGGCUGCGGGCAGAGCUCUGCCCCCCACCAUGAGCGAAUCCCCCCGGCUCGCCGUCGGGGACCCCACGGCACCGGCGGCCGCUCCGUGCCCGCGGAGCUGAGCAGGACCGGGGCGGGGGGCGGCCGCCGAAAGGGGACCGAGACCUGCGACCCCCGGCCCCGGCAGCACGGCACCGCGUGGGUUUGGUCCCCCACAGCCUCCUGCUCCCCGGGGUGCCCCCUCCCAGGAGCCCCCCCCCGUCCGUACAAGGCCGGCAGCGCGGCCCCUCCGCCCCGGCCCCGCCGCAUUUUUCUGCCUUGUAUGGCCCGAGCCGGGCCGGCCGGGGCGGGACGAGGGGCCCGGCACCGCCCCGGUCGCCCUCCAGCACCUAGGGCCGAGCCGCCGGCCGGUCCCGGGCAGAGCAGCGCCGCCCGCCCCGCAGUGCCCCCGCUCCGGCACAGAUGCAGAGGAACUUUGCGUCUUACGUAGUUUUGCCUGUGAAAACUCGAGGUCCUCUUGGCUUCUUCCGCUCAGCUGCUUCCCUCCGUGCAUGCCUUUUCGGUACAAAGUGUUAUGAAGGUGAUAAAAGCCAGGGAGGUUCUUAAGCAUCGACGUGUAAAAGAAAGCAGUGGCUGCAGCAGCAUUCUUUGGAAUGGAACAUCCCGAAGUGUCAACAACCAGCGCUGCUUACCAAAGAUGGUUGGUUUCUUCGGUCACUUGAAUUUUUUCCUCUCGUCACUGGCAGGCUCUGGGUUGCUGUAGGAGGAGUUUGCGGUCGCCUCCCCCUCUGACGUCCAGAGGCCAGAUUCUCCCACCAAGGUGAGCCCCUUCAUUCCCCUAGGAGAAUGU
This 1225-nucleotide long non-coding RNA is filed under the name Anas platyrhynchos platyrhynchos (common mallard). Its description in RNAcentral is "lncRNA (ENSAPLG00000018137.1)". The record is from RNAcentral. Lineage: Eukaryota; Metazoa; Chordata; Aves; Anseriformes; Anatidae.